UAAGCCAUGCAUGUCUCAGUAUAAGCUUCUAUACGGCGAAACUGCGAAUGGCUCAUUAAAACAGUUAUAGUUUAUUUGAUGGUCAUUCUUUACAUGGAUAACCGUGGUAAUUCUAGAGCUAAUACAUGCGCCCAAACCCGACUUCGAGGAAGGGUUGUGUUUAUUAGUUACAGAACCAACCCAGGCUCUGCCUGGUCUUGUGGUGAUUCAUAAUAACCGAACGAAUCGCUAUCCCAAGCGAUGAAUCAUUCAAGUUUCUGACCUAUCAGCUUCCGACGGUAGGGUAUUGGCCUACCGUGGCGUUGACGGGUAACGGAGAAUUAGGGUUCGAUUCCGGAGAGGGAGCCUGAGAAACGGCUACCACAUCUAAGGAAGGCAGCAGGCGCGCAAAUUACCCAAUCCUGACACAGGGAGGUAGCGACAAGAAAUAACAAUACAGGGCAUUAUUGUCUUGUAAUUGGAAUGAGUAGAAUUUAAAUCCCUUUACGAGUACCGAUUGGAGGGCAAGUCUGGUGCCAGCAGCCGCGGUAAUUCCAGCUCCAAUAGCGUAUAUUAAAGUUGUUGCGGUUAAAAAGCUCGUAGUUGGAUUUCUGCCGAGGACGACCGGUCCGCCCUCUGGGUGAGCAUCUGGCUCGACCUGGGCAUCUUCUUGUAGAACGUAGCUGCCCUUGAUUGUGUGGUGCGGGUAUC
Molecule: ribosomal RNA, 690 nt
Filed under: uncultured eukaryote
Lineage: Eukaryota
Description: SSU rRNA
Rfam family: Eukaryotic small subunit ribosomal RNA
Source: RNAcentral